Molecule: long non-coding RNA, 2004 nt
Organism: Crocodylus porosus (Australian saltwater crocodile)
Lineage: Eukaryota; Metazoa; Chordata; Crocodylia; Crocodylidae
Source: Ensembl
GCCUUUCCGCGCGGGGUUUAUUUCCUCGCGCCCGUUGCAAAGGCGCGGAAGACGAGAUGAUGUACAGCCCCCGAGGCACCGGGAGACUGCAACGUCUGCGCCGCGACUGCUCCGGUGCAACCGGACGCGCCGGCUUGUGUCCCAGUCGCGGUUCGCGGGGGCAGGCAGGAGCCGAGCUGCCGGCCCCCGCCCGCGGGGUUGCCGCGCAGGCCCCCCCGACGUGGCCAUUAGCGCCCGGCAGCUCCGCUCCGCUCCGGGAAACGCUCCCGGAGAGCAGCGCCUCGGCUCCCCUUCACACCAGCCCCCCGCCCCGGCUGCCACGCUGCAGCGUGCGAGUCCACCUGGGACACUGUCCGGUCCGGGGAGCAUUCCCGUCUGGCCGCAGCUAGCGCUGGCCCGACAGCAACGCAUCCCGGGGCAAGGAAGAGCACGGCCGGCGGCGGCCGCGGCUUGCAGCACGGCCUGGGGCAGAGGCAGCACACACAGCAACCGGCCCCCGGCCGUGCCUCCGGGGAGAAGGAGCUUCCCCGGGCGGCGCCAGGCCCGGAGCCGGCCGAGCAGCGAAGGUCAGCGGGGCGGGUGUCCGGCCGGCCGUGUGCGGGCAAGGGAAAGCAGGGAAGCGCCGUGGGGGGCGCGGACUCACCCGGCCGUCUCCCGCCCCAGCCCUGGGCCGAGGCUUGUGGCACACCCCCGGGGCUGCGCGUGCCUGGCACUGGCGGGGACGACCAUCCGCUGGGCAGCGCGUGCAGACGGGCACACGCGGCGGUGCCGAAACGCAGCCGGGCGCUGCGGGAAGCGGAGGAGCGGCGCCCGCGGCGGCACCGGGGCUCUGCCCGGCCUGGAGCCGCGCAGCUCCUCGGCCCGCUUCCCGACAUGAGGGGGCCGCGAGUCCGUCGUUCCCGUGUGGGCAUCACGGCUCGCCGUGCUGUUCCGGCGGGCUCGGAGGACCCCGCGUGGAGCCGGGCUGGGCCCACGAGCGCCCCGGGCACCCGCGAGGCUGCUCUCCCCCUCUGCCCAGAGGUGAUUUUUCCUGGUUCAGAAAAGAGCCCAGCAGCGUCUGUCCCCACCCAGGCGCCGCGCCGCACCCGCACCCGCACCCGCACCCCCCGGCGGGGCCAGGCGCACACGUGCGCGAGCCGGGUGUUACGACUUGUGAGGGUGCUCGGGGCCCAGUGGGCCCAGGCGCUGCCAGCGCCCCGCCGGGGCUGCUUGCUGGCUGCAGUCCAGCUCCUGCCGCCAUGCUGCAGGCUCCGGCUCCCAAGGCCGCGCCUUGUCCGGGCGUUUCCUCACCCCGGCCCCGGGGAGCUGCCUGGCAGCCUCCCUCCAGCUGCCGGGCCCGGGACGCGGCUUGCACCGGGUAUGACCAACGAGUCACUAGCGCCGCUCAGUCCAAAGCCAAGUGCAAAGGGCUUUCAUUUCCUCCGGGCCCUGGGGUCUGGUUUUCGUGCGUGACAAGGACAACCAGCCGCGGGCCUGGCAGCCAGGACCCCAAGUGCGAGAGCCGGAGCCGGAGUCCAGCCUGGCCCCGGAAGACCAAGUGGGUCAGCCUGGAGCAGGCCUCUCCGCCCCUGGCAGCUCCCUCCUGCACCGACCCUGGCCCGCGACUGCAGAAAGAUGCAGCCCCCGAGCACGGCAGGUCCUGCCUGCUGCUUCUUUUUGGCCGCUGCAGGAGACGUUGCACAAAGAGAAGAUGUGGAUGUGGCCCGGAUGCGGGGACCUGGACGGGUCUGAGUGCGGGAGGGCUCCCAGGGGGUCCCGGCGCUGCAGCGAGCGAGAAGCUCCGGAGACGGAUGCAAUCCCCAGCCCGCGUCCCCCGGCUGCCUCGGUCCCCGCGGGGCCAGCCCCGGACACGAGCUUGGCACCUCGCAGGAUCCGGCCCCGCACUUGCUCAACGCAGCCGCGGCAGCACCCGAGACGCGCCGGGAUCGCGCAGCGGCUGCAGCCCCGGGACGAGAAAUCAAGGGACACUUCUCGUCCCGCCGCGCGCACCUGCCCGUGCGGGCC